GCCCGGUGUAGGCGGGCGUGGGGCCGACGGUGGUGGUGACGGCGAGAUCCGCCUCGUCCGGCACGGGGGCCGGGCGC
RNAcentral lists this transfer RNA (77 nucleotides) under Streptomyces sp. M56. RNAcentral's name for it is "tRNA-Thr". The record is from RNAcentral. Lineage: Bacteria; Bacillati; Actinomycetota; Actinomycetes; Kitasatosporales; Streptomycetaceae.